Molecule: ribosomal RNA, 482 nt
Filed under: uncultured bacterium
Lineage: Bacteria
Description: partial 16S ribosomal RNA
Rfam family: Bacterial small subunit ribosomal RNA
Source: RNAcentral
AUUGAACGCUGGCGGCAUGCCUUACACAUGCAAGUCGAACGGUAACAGGUCUUCGGAUGCUGACGAGUGGCUAACGGGUGAGUAAUACAUCGGAACGUGCCCAGACGUGGGGGAUAACGAGGCGAAAGCUUUGCUAAUACCGCAUACGAUCUAAGGAUGAAAUCAGGGGACCGCAAGGCCUUGUGCGUUUGGAGCGGCCGAUGGCAGAUUAGGUAGUUGGUGGGAUAAAAGCUUACCAAGCCGACGAUCUGUAGCUGGUCUGAGAGGACGACCAGCCACACUGGGACUGAGACACGGCCCAGACUCCUAAGGGAGGCAGCAGUGGGGAAUUUUGGACAAUGGGCGAAAGCAUGAUCCAGCAAUGCCGAGUGCAGGAUGAAGGCCUUCGGGUUGUAAACUGCUUUUGUACGGAACGAAAAGGCUCUGGCUAAUACCUGGGGCACAUGACGGUACCGUAAGAAUAAGCACCGGCUAACUACGUG